RNAcentral lists this small nucleolar RNA (125 nucleotides) under Microcebus murinus (gray mouse lemur). RNAcentral's name for it is "Small Cajal body specific RNA 11 (ENSMICG00000035974.2)". It matches the Rfam family "Small Cajal body specific RNA 11". Rfam says of the family: scaRNAs are a specific class of small nuclear RNAs which localise to the Cajal bodies and guide the modification of RNA polymerase II transcribed spliceosomal RNAs U1, U2, U4, U5 and U12. Lineage: Eukaryota; Metazoa; Chordata; Mammalia; Primates; Cheirogaleidae. The record is from Rfam by way of RNAcentral.
CUGCCCAGCCUCAAUCCUGUUUCCUGAAAGAAGAAGAUAGUGUAGCAGGACACAGCAGUCUCCCUCUCAGUUCAGGAGGGCUGUCCUAACAAUAGGGAUGGCUCGUAAAGGCACGAGAGGACAAU